RNAcentral lists this long non-coding RNA (258 nucleotides) under Solanum tuberosum (potato). RNAcentral describes it as "long non-coding RNA (STUB_LNC001719)". Lineage: Eukaryota; Viridiplantae; Streptophyta; Magnoliopsida; Solanales; Solanaceae. The record is from RNAcentral.
UUCCAUUCUUAUAUUUUAUUAUGAUUUACUUUUCUUUUACAUUUUUCACUCUUUUCUCUGUGUAUCAAAUUUGAUUAGGGAGUUCAAGUUCCAAUAAUUUUUCAUUUUUUCAUAUUCCUUGUUCAAGUUUGUCAUUGAUUGUAUGCUAUUAAACUUUGUUGUGGAUUAUUUUAUUUUUUGGUUUGAUAUUAUUGUUUUUUGGGCAGCGGGGUUAGAACUUUUCCGGGCAGCUUUUUUGCUUUAAUUUACUGAUUUUUU